GUAGGGGGCAAGCGUUGUCCGGAUUUACUGGGCGUAGAGAGCGUGUAGGCGGCCAAGCAGGUCCGUUGUGAAAACUGGAGGCUUAACCUCCAGACGUCGACGGAAACCGCGUGGCUAGAGUCCGGAAGAGGAGAGUGGAAUUCCUGGUGUAGCGGUGAAAUGCGCAGAUAUCAGGAAGAACACCAAUGGCGAAGGCAGCUCUCUGGGACGGUACUGACGCUGAGACGCGAAAGCGUGGGGAGCGAACAGGAUUAGAUACCCUGGUAGUCCACGCCGUAAACGAUGGGUGCUAGGUGUGGGAGGUGUCGACUCCUUCCGUGCCGUAGCUAACGCAUUAAGCACCCCGCCUGGGGAGUACGGCCGCAAGGCUA
RNAcentral lists this ribosomal RNA (371 nucleotides) under uncultured bacterium. Its description in RNAcentral is "bacterial SSU rRNA". It matches the Rfam family "Bacterial small subunit ribosomal RNA", at positions 527 to 896 of the family's 1533-position model. The record is from RNAcentral.